This 253-nucleotide ribosomal RNA is filed under the name uncultured bacterium. Its description in RNAcentral is "partial 16S ribosomal RNA". It matches the Rfam family "Bacterial small subunit ribosomal RNA", at positions 524 to 776 of the family's 1533-position model. The record is from RNAcentral.
GACAGAGGGUGCAAACGUUGUUCGGAAUCACUGGGCGUAAAGCGCGUGUAGGCGGCUUCUUAAGUCCGAUGUGAAAGCCCGGGGCUCACCCCCGGAAGUGCAUUGGAUACUGGGAAGCUGGAGUACCGGAGAGGAGGGUGGAAUUCCUAGUGUAGCGGUGAAAUGCGCAGAUAUUAGGAGGAACACCGGUGGCGAAGGCGCCGCUCUGGGCCGAAACUGACGCUGAGGAGCGAAAGCAUGGGUAGCAAACAGG